GAUGAACGCUGGCGGCGUGCUUAACACAUGCAAGUCGAACGAUGAAGCCCAGCUUGCUGGGUGGAUUAGUGGCGAACGGGUGAGUAACACGUGAGUAACCUGCCCUUAACUCUGGGAUAAGCCUGGGAAACUGGGUCUAAUACCGGAUAGGAGCGUCCACCGCAUGGUGGGUGUUGGAAAGAUUUAUCGGUUUUGGAUGGACUCGCGGCCUAUCAGCUUGUUGGUGAGGUAAUGGCUCACCAAGGCGACGACGGGUAGCCGGCCUGAGAGGGUGACCGGCCACACUGGGACUGAGACACGGCGCAGACUCCUACGGGAGGCAGCAGGGGAGAGUAUUGCACAAUGGGGGCGAGCCUGAGGCAGAGACGCCGCGUGAGGGAUGACGGCCUUCGGGUUGUAAACCUCUUUCAGUAGGGAAGAAGCGAAAGUGACGGUACCUGCAGAAGAAGCACCGGCUAACUACGUG
Molecule: ribosomal RNA, 466 nt
Filed under: uncultured bacterium
Lineage: Bacteria
Description: partial 16S ribosomal RNA
Rfam family: Bacterial small subunit ribosomal RNA
Source: RNAcentral